Molecule: ribosomal RNA, 468 nt
Filed under: uncultured bacterium
Lineage: Bacteria
Description: partial 16S ribosomal RNA
Rfam family: Bacterial small subunit ribosomal RNA
Source: RNAcentral
GACGAACGCUGGCGGCGUGCUUAACACAUGCAAGUCGAACGGAAAGGCCCUGCUUUUGUGGGGUGCUCGAGUGGCGAACGGGUGAGUAACACGUGAGUAACCUGCCCUUGACUUUGGGAUAACUUCAGGAAACUGGGGCUAAUACCGGAUAGGAGCGCCUGCUGCAUGGUGGGGGUUGGAAAGUUUCGGCGGGUGGGGAUGGACUCGCGGCUUAUCAGCUGGUUGGUGGGGUAGUGGCUUACCAAGGCUUUGACGGGUAGCCGGCAUGAGAGGGUGACCAGCCACAUUGGGACUGAGAUACGGCCCAGACUCCUACGGGAGGCAGCAGUGGGGAAUAUUGCACAAUGGGCGGAAGCCUGAUGCGGCAACGCCGCGUGCGGGAUGACGGCCUUCGGGUUGUAAACCGCUUUCGCCUGUGACGAAGCGUGAGUGACGGUAAUGGGUAAAGAAGCACCGGCUAACUACGUG